GGUCGUAUGGCGCAAUUGGUUAGCGCGUGGUGCUAAUAACGCCAAGGCUGUGGGUUCGAGUCCCACUAUGACCA
RNAcentral lists this transfer RNA (74 nucleotides) under Trichoglossum hirsutum. It matches the Rfam family "tRNA". Rfam says of the family: Transfer RNA (tRNA) molecules are approximately 80 nucleotides in length. Their secondary structure includes four short double-helical elements and three loops (D, anti-codon, and T loops). The record is from Rfam by way of RNAcentral. Lineage: Eukaryota; Fungi; Ascomycota; Geoglossomycetes; Geoglossales; Geoglossaceae. RNAcentral also lists the same sequence under 1 other name.